UACGUAGGGUGCGAGCGUUGUCCGGAAUUAUUGGGUGUAAAGAGCUUGUAGGCGGUUUGUCGCGUCUGCUGUGAAAACUCGGGGCUUAACCCCGAGCCUGCAGUGGGUACGGGCAGACUAGAGUAUGGUAGGGGGGACUGGAAUUCCUGGUGUAGCGGUGGAAUGCGCAGAUAUCAGGAGGAACACCGAUGGCGAAGGCAGGUCUCUGGGCCAUAACUGACGCUGAGAAGCGAAAGCGUGGGUAGCGAAC
Molecule: ribosomal RNA, 250 nt
Filed under: uncultured prokaryote
Description: partial 16S ribosomal RNA
Rfam family: Bacterial small subunit ribosomal RNA
Source: RNAcentral